AACGAACGCUGGCGGCAUGCCUAACACAUGCAAGUCGAACGAAGCCUUCGGGCUUAGUGGCUCACGGGUGCGUAACGCGUGGGAAUCUGCCCUUUGGUUCGGAAUAACAGUUGGAAACGACUGCUAAUACCGGAAGAUGACGAAAGUCCAAAGAUUUAUCGCCAGAGGAUGAGCCCGCGUAGGAUUAGCUAGUUGGUGUGGUAAAGGCGCACCAAGGCGACGAUCCUUAGCUGGUCUGAGAGGAUGAUCAGCCACACUGGGACUGAGACACGGCCCAGACUCCUACGGGAGGCAGCAGUGGGGAAUAUUGGACAAUGGGCGAAAGCCUGAUCCAGCAAUGCCGCGUGAGUGAUGAAGGCCCUAGGGUUGUAAAGCUCUUUUACCCGGGAUGAUAAUGACAGUACCGGGAGAAUAAGCCCCGGCUAACUCCGUGCCAGCCGCCGCAGUAA
Molecule: ribosomal RNA, 449 nt
Filed under: uncultured bacterium
Lineage: Bacteria
Description: partial 16S ribosomal RNA
Rfam family: Bacterial small subunit ribosomal RNA
Source: RNAcentral